Long non-coding RNA from Gymnogyps californianus (California condor), 446 nucleotides. RefSeq lists it as uncharacterized. The record is from RefSeq and is a predicted model, not a curated record. NCBI's taxonomy places the organism in Eukaryota, Metazoa, Chordata, Aves, Accipitriformes, Cathartidae. The transcript has 5 exons.
UAGCUUAUGCUUUUUCAGUUUAUGCUUUUCUAGAUGCGAAUCGAUGUAUGAAGCGGGAUAUCCGCACCGGAGCGGACUUUGGCAAGUUUUACAGGUGGCGGGCAGGGCUCGGCACAGAGGACCGAAGAAUCUGACUCUGAGCGGCCGAGGGGCCGCACUCCUUUCCAGAGGGGCGAAGCUGCACAGCCACGAGCAGUUGGAGAACAGGCGAGAGACUCGUUAAGCGGUCCGCUCGGGCUCAAAUCGCCGAGGAUCUCACGGUGAUGAAGAGGAACCCGGUGAAUGUGGGAGCAUCCCGGUUAGAUGAUGUGCUCCUGAUGAGGAUGGAUUCUGGAUCCUGCCCUCUGAAAGGCACAUUGCGGCAAGGCUCUAGGAACGGUCGAGGCAUCGAGGUCCGAGGAGCGGCACGACAGGCUUCGGAGCGGUCGGUCGCUUUGGGGCGGAUC